GAUGAACGCUGGCGGCGUGCCUAAUACAUGCAAGUCGAGCGAACGGACGAGAAGCUUGCUUCUCUGAUGUUAGCGGCGGACGGGUGAGUAACACGUGGAUAACCUACCUAUAAGACUGGGAUAACUUCGGGAAACCGGAGCUAAUACCGGAUAAUAUUUUGAACCGCAUGGUUCAAAAGUGAAAGACGGUCUUGCUGUCACUUAUAGAUGGAUCCGCGCUGCAUUAUCUAGUUGGUAAGGUAACGGCUUACCAAGGCAACGAUGCAUAGCCGACCUGAGAGGGUGAUCGGCCACACUGGAGCUGAGACACGGUCCUGACUCCUACGGGAGGCAGCAGUAGGGAAUCUUCCGCAAUGGGCGAAAGCCUGACGGAGCAACGACGCGUGAGUGAUGAAGGUCUUCGGAUCGUAAAACUCUGUUAUUAGGGAAGAACAUAUGUGUAAGUAACUGUGCACAUCUUGACGGUACCUAAUCAGAAAGCCACGGCUAACUACGUG
This 497-nucleotide ribosomal RNA is filed under the name uncultured bacterium. RNAcentral's name for it is "partial 16S ribosomal RNA". It matches the Rfam family "Bacterial small subunit ribosomal RNA", at positions 28 to 507 of the family's 1533-position model. The record is from RNAcentral.